UACAUGUGGGGCAAGCGUUGUUCGGAAUUACUGGGCAUAAAGGGUGCGUAGGCGGUUUGUUAAGUCUGUGGUGAAAGUUUUCGGCCCAACCGGAAAAUUGCCGCGGAUACUGGCGAACUCGAGUGCGUGAGGGAUGGGGGGAACGAGCAGUGUAGCGGUGAAAUGCGUAGAUAUUGGGAGGAACACCAGUGGCGAAGGCGGCUCACUGGACCGGUACUGACGCUGAUGCGCGAAAGCGUGGGGAGCAAACGGG
Molecule: ribosomal RNA, 253 nt
Filed under: uncultured bacterium
Lineage: Bacteria
Description: partial 16S ribosomal RNA
Rfam family: Bacterial small subunit ribosomal RNA
Source: RNAcentral